RNAcentral lists this ribosomal RNA (200 nucleotides) under uncultured bacterium. RNAcentral's name for it is "partial 16S ribosomal RNA". It matches the Rfam family "Bacterial small subunit ribosomal RNA", at positions 1301 to 1500 of the family's 1533-position model. The record is from RNAcentral.
CAGGCUGCAACUCGCCUGCAUGAAGUCGGAAUUGCUAGUAAUCGCAGAUCAGCAUGCUGCGGUGAAUACGUUCCCGGGCCUUGUACACACCGCCCGUCACACCAUGGGAGUCGGUAACACCCGAAGUCGGUAGCCUAACCGUAAGGAGGGCGCUGCCGAAGGUGGGAUUGGUAAUUGGGGUGAAGUCGUAACAAGGUAAC